This 944-nucleotide non-coding RNA is filed under the name Microdevario kubotai. Its description in RNAcentral is "12S rRNA". It matches the Rfam family "Bacterial small subunit ribosomal RNA". Lineage: Eukaryota; Metazoa; Chordata; Actinopteri; Cypriniformes; Danionidae. The record is from RNAcentral.
CAAAGACAUGGUCCCGAUCUUUACAUCGGCUUUAACCUAAAUUACACAUGCAAGUAUCAGCACCCCGGUGAGUACGCCCCAAAUCCCCCUUAUCGGGGACAAGGAGCAGGAAUCAGGCACAAAUUAUUUAGCCCAAGACACCUAGCCUAGCCACACCCUCAAGGGGCCCCAGCAGUGAUAAAUAUUAAGCUAUAAGUGAAAACUUGACUUAGUUAAGGUUAUUUUUAGGGCCGGUCAAACUCGUGCCAGCAACCGCGGUUAAACGAGAGGCCCUAGUUGAUGAACCACGGCGUAAAGGGUGGUUAGGGGACAAAGUUAAUAAAGCCAAAUGACUCUUUAGCCGUUAUACGCUUUUAGAAGUCCGAAACCCAAACACGAAAGUAGCUUUAAAGAAUUUACCUGACCCCACGAAAACUGAGAAACAAACUGGGAUUAGAUACCCCACUAUGCUCAGUCAUAAACUAAGACAGCAAAUUACAACGAUGUCCGCCCGGAUAUUACAAGCACUAGCUUUAAACCCAAAGGACCUGACGGUGCCUUAGAUCCCCCUAGAGGAGCCUGUUCUAGAACCGAUUACCCCCGUUAAACCUCACCACUUCUGGCAAUAGCAGCCUAUAUACCACCGUCGCCAGUUUACCCUGUGAAGGCACAAAAGUAAGCAAAAUGGGUAACCCCCAGUACGUCAGGUCGAGGUGUAGCACACGAAGUGGGAAGAAAUGGGCUACAUUUUCUAACAUAGAAUAAACGAAUACGCAAUAUGAAAAUUAAUGCUUGAAGGAGGAUUUAGUAGUAAAAGGGAAAAAGAGAGUCCCUUUGAACCCGGCUCUAAGGCGCGUACACACCGCCCGUCACUCCCAUCAAGUCAUAACUCUUUAUAGUUAACAGACAGAUGGGAAAAGUCGUAACAAGGUAAGUGUACCGGAAGGUGCACUUGGAUAAAUAUA